AAGCAGCCCUGUGAAGGUGAGCAAAUCCCAAAAAUAACGUCCCAGUUCGGAUUGUAGUCUGCAACCCGACUACAUGAAGCUGGAAUCGCUAGUAAUCGCGGAUCAGAAUGCCGCGGUGAAUACGUUCCCGGGUCUUGUACACACCGCCCGUCACACCAUGGGAGUCGGAAAUGCCCGAAGCCGGUGACUCAACCUUUAAGGAGAGAGCCGUCGAAGGCAGGUCUGAUAACUGGGGUGAAGUCGUAACAAGGUACC
This 255-nucleotide ribosomal RNA is filed under the name uncultured bacterium. RNAcentral's name for it is "partial 16S ribosomal RNA". It matches the Rfam family "Bacterial small subunit ribosomal RNA", at positions 1247 to 1500 of the family's 1533-position model. The record is from RNAcentral.